RNAcentral lists this ribosomal RNA (256 nucleotides) under uncultured bacterium. Its description in RNAcentral is "partial 16S ribosomal RNA". It matches the Rfam family "Bacterial small subunit ribosomal RNA", at positions 524 to 776 of the family's 1533-position model. The record is from RNAcentral.
UACAGAGACCUCAAGCGUUAUCCGGAUUUAUUGGGCGUAAAGCGUUCCGAAAUGCGGUUUGGUAAGUCGGAUGUGAAAUCCUCGGACUCAAUCCGAGAAUGGCAUUCGAAACUUCCAGACUAGAGAAAUGUAGAGAGUAUAGGAACUCUAGGUGUAGCAGUGAAAUGCGUUGAUAUCUAGGGGAACACCAAUGGCGAAGGCAAGUACUUGGACAUUUUCUGACGCAGCUAGGACGAAAGCGUGGGUAGCGAAUGGG